AUGGUGGAGUCUCAUAAGAAUCAGGUGAGGCUAAGCAUUAUCAUCAUCGUGGAGGAACAAGCGACGGAUGCUUCUAACUCUCUAACUAGGAUGCUCUUCAUUCUUCUCUUCAUCCUCGCGGCUCCAAGUUUUAUCUUCGGCCAAGUCUUCCAACCCAAACAACUCAUCUAUACAGAGGGAGACAAGAUCUUGAUUACAUGCAAUCAAAAUGUCACCAGACAUGACACGAUGUAUUGGUACAAGCAGCAAGCUCAGCAAACAGGGGGUGUCCUGUCUUUGUUGGGACAGGGAUACGCAGAAGGUUCCACUCCUGCUGGGGAAUACCAAAUUGAUGUGAUCAGAGCAUCUCGAGCUACCAACCUCACCAAAGACGAGGCCCGAUUGAGUGAUGCGGGCAUGUACUUCUGUGCCGUGAGAGACACAGUGGCCUUAGAGUAG
Eublepharis macularius is the source of this 438-nucleotide non-coding RNA. NCBI's taxonomy places the organism in Eukaryota, Metazoa, Chordata, Lepidosauria, Squamata, Eublepharidae. The record is from the annotation of a RefSeq genome assembly.